Molecule: ribosomal RNA, 243 nt
Filed under: uncultured bacterium
Lineage: Bacteria
Description: partial 16S ribosomal RNA
Source: RNAcentral
CUGCUGCCUCCCGUAGGAGUCUGGGCCGUAUCUCAGUCCCAAUGUGGCCGGCCAACCUCUCAGUCCGGCUACUGAUCGUCGCCUUGGUAGGCCGUUACCCUACCAACUAGCUAAUCAGACGCGAGGCCAUCUCUCAGCGAUAAAUCUUUGGCAUCUGUACCAUGCGAUACCUAUGCAUUAUGCGGUAUUAGCAGUCGUUUCCAACUGUUGUCCCCCUNUGAAAGGCAGGUUCCUCACGCGUUA